This 442-nucleotide ribosomal RNA is filed under the name uncultured bacterium. RNAcentral's name for it is "partial 16S ribosomal RNA". It matches the Rfam family "Bacterial small subunit ribosomal RNA", at positions 338 to 795 of the family's 1533-position model. The record is from RNAcentral.
CCUACGGGAGGCAGCAGUGGGGAAUAUUGGGCAAUGGACGCAAGUCUGACCCAGCAACGCCGCGUGAAGGAAGAAGGCUUUCGGGUUGUAAACCUCUUUUAAGGGGGAAGAGCAGAAGACGGUACCUCUUGAAUAAGCCACGGCUAACUACGUGCCAGCAGCCGCGGUAAUACGUAGGUGGCAAGCGUUGUCCGGAUUUACUGGGUGUAAAGGGCGUGCAGUGGGAGGGACAAGUCAGAGGGGAAAACCACGGGCUCAACCCGUGAACUGCAUUUGAGACUGGUUCCCUUGAGUGUCGGGGAGGUAAUCGGAAUGCCUGGUGUAGCGGUGAAAUGCGUAGAUAUUAGGAAGAACCCCAGUGGCGAAGGCGGAUUACUGGACGAUAACUGACGGUGAGGCGCGAAAGCGUGGGGAGCAAACAGGAUUAGAUACCCCAGUAGUC